UACAGAGGGGGCAAGCGUUGUUCGGAAUUACUGGGCGUAAAGGGUGUGUAGGCGGUUGUUUAAGUUUGGUGUGAAAUCUCCCGGCUCAACUGGGAGGGUGCGCCGAAUACUGAAUGACUUGGAGUGCGGGAGAGGUGAGUGGAAUUCCUGGUGUAGCGGUGAAAUGCGUAGAUAUCAGGAGGAACACCGGUGGUGUAGACGGCUCACUGGACCGUAACUGACGCUGAGACACGAAAGCGUGGGUAGCAAACAGG
This 254-nucleotide ribosomal RNA is filed under the name uncultured bacterium. RNAcentral describes it as "partial 16S ribosomal RNA". It matches the Rfam family "Bacterial small subunit ribosomal RNA", at positions 524 to 776 of the family's 1533-position model. The record is from RNAcentral.